RNAcentral lists this long non-coding RNA (730 nucleotides) under Panax ginseng (ginseng). RNAcentral describes it as "long non-coding RNA (PGIN_LNC009328)". The record is from RNAcentral. Lineage: Eukaryota; Viridiplantae; Streptophyta; Magnoliopsida; Apiales; Araliaceae.
UUGUUCCAAAAUGCUCUCAUUAUGCACCUUAAAUGACAGCUCGUCAUAGAGCAUCUUAAAUCUUAAUUUCAGUUUUGAAUAAUUCAUACUUACUCUUUGAUGCAAUCAUCCAGUAAGCUGGAAUAUGGGUCCGAUAUGUCUAUCCUUGAACGUCUUGAGCUCAUCCUGUAUAACCAUUCCUUCCAGCUUAUAUACUCCAGUUUGUUGAAACAGUUAAGGAAUUUCGUUGUUUCACUUCUUCCUUCAACCAUUUCUAGUUAGUUUUAGCUCCAUCUUAGAUGCCCUUUUAUCUUUUGCAGAGGUAUAUCAUUUUCUGUUCCUGUAUAUUAACAUUGUCGAAUAAACUAUAUUUGUUAUUUUCCAACUAAUUAAAGAUGUGGAAUCCUUUCUUUUCCUUUGUCCUUUUUCAAACUUGGUAGGUUGUUUAUAUUUGAUGAACUAGUAAUAUGGUAAAUGUGUACAAGUAAGGUUAUAAAAGUUCCUAGAAUACUUGUGCUAGGAAACAUAACUAUUUAAUUUUUGCUCAACUUGGGUCUUAGCUUUUAUAAAGAGGUUGAGGUUUAGCAUUGACUCACUAUCAUUAUCAUCCUAUCCUAUCCACAAGAGUACACAUAAUUUCUUUGUGGGAAAAGAAGUCUUGCUUAUAUUUCUCUCUCUGGCGUGGUCCCAAUCCCCCAAAGAUAUACGCACAACAUAAGGUACUAAAGAUUAAAGUCUUACAGCAGAACAA